GAUAUUCAAUAAAACUAAAUGUUUUUAAUUUAUACUGAAUGAAUAGUCAUUAUAUAUGGAAAACAUAAUUUCCACGUGUGACACUCAUGGUUACCUAGUAUAGUAGUCAAUUAUACAAACGAAUUUAUUUCUCCACGUCUGUUUCUUUGCUUGCUCAGAUAAUGUUAAUUCUCUCAUAUUGAGACAUAUCAGAUAAUAUGUGUGCUAAAUGAACAAGUUUAAUCGUUGUUGGAGAUCUUUCCAAUCUACGGUAAGUGCAACUACUUUAAUUUAUAAUAAGAAAGAGAUGUGAGCCCCAUAAAUCUAACUAUAACCUUUAGAAGUAAAUAGUGGCUUAUCUACAUACUAUAAAAGUUUAGCAAAAACAUGUAAUAGGUAUUUUUGAUAUCAUCAGUGUUUCCAUCCAUCACAACCAUUGACAAUCCAAUGAUCUAGAUUUUUAUUUUCUCAAAUAGUUAAGAAAUCACAAGAGGCUGUACAGGAGUGUGCUUCUAGAGAAAACCAAUUCUACCAAAUCUUGCCAUUGAUAAUAUUUCUUACUAUGGGAACUUGUUAAUUGAAAAUUGUUCAACUCAAUCCACAGCAAUAAUGAGCAUGACUAGAUAUUUAACUAUUUAUUUGUGCAAGUCUAUCCACAACAAUAAUAAGCAUGACCAAGUAUUUACCUAUUUAUAAAGCCUUUCAUCUUUUGGUGCUCCACACCAGCCAACUGAAUUUCUUCAUCUUUUUUACCAUUCCUUCGAGCGUUUCAAAGCAAGACCCUUGUGAUGCCUACAAAACAAGGAAUCCAGCAUCAUAUCUCACUUGUAUAUUUGAAAACCUCUUUUGCACGCAUCCAAUGAUCAACCUUGCAUGUUAAUAAGUAUCGGAUCAAUGAUUUACCCAAAAAAAUGCUUGUUCUUUGCAAGCUGUGUCAAGAUAUGUAUGCUAGAUGGAUGAGUGUAACCGUCAUUAGAGAUCUUUCGGACUGAUGGUAAUGGCAACUACUUUAAAUAUUAUAGAAAAGAGAUGUGGGUUCAAUAUGACGUGUUACAACAUUGAGCACUAAAUGGCAUUUCUUGAGUGUGACCGGUAGCUAACAGUUAUAGCUGUUUCUUUGGUGAGGUUUCAAGGCCUCCAAGAACUCAAGAGUUUGCAAUUUGUGGUGGACCAUCAAGCUGAGUAGCCUCGGUUGUGAGCCAAGAAGAUCAACUGUGACGUUAUGUGUUGUUGCUGGUGUCCUUGAUAUGCCUUUUUUCUUUUCUUUUUUAUUUAUUUAUAAUUAUUAUAGCUAUUGUAUGGAAACAAAGGAAAGGAUUUGGUAAAUGUGUUUAGAUGGUGCAGUGCGGUUAUCGUUCCAUAGCAGCAAACCAUAGACUGUAAACAAUGUGUUUUUUUUUACCUCAAUGAAAUGGAAUUGUUCAGAUUU
RNAcentral lists this long non-coding RNA (1408 nucleotides) under Eucalyptus grandis. Its description in RNAcentral is "long non-coding RNA (EGRA_LNC002762)". Lineage: Eukaryota; Viridiplantae; Streptophyta; Magnoliopsida; Myrtales; Myrtaceae. The record is from RNAcentral.